UGGGGGAUAUUGCACAAUGGGCGAAAGCCUGAUGCAGCGACGCCGCGUGGGGGAUGAAGGCCUUCGGGUUGUAAACUUCUUUUGCUCUGAACAAGGCAUGCUAAUGGGUGUGUUGAGUGUAGGGGUUGAUUAGCGCCGGCUAACUACGUGCCAGCAGCCGCGGUAAUACGUAGGGCGCGAGCGUUGUCCGGAAUUAUUGGGCGUAAAGGGCUUGUAGGUGGCUGGUUGCGUCUGUCGUGAAAGCUCAUGGCUUAACUGUGGGUUUGCGGUGGGUACGAGCGGGCUUGAGUGCAGUAGGGGAGGCUGGAAUUCCUGGUGUAGCGGUGGAAUGCGCAGAUAUCAGGAGGAAUACCGGUGGCGAAGGCGGGUCUCUGGGCUGUUACUGACACUGAGGAGCGAAAGCAUGGGGAGCGAACAGG
Molecule: ribosomal RNA, 419 nt
Filed under: bacterium
Lineage: Bacteria
Description: partial 16S ribosomal RNA
Rfam family: Bacterial small subunit ribosomal RNA
Source: RNAcentral